AUUGAACGCUGGCGGCAGGCCUAACACAUCCAAGUCGAACGGCAGCACAGAAGAGCUUGCUCUUUGGGUGGCGAGUGGCGGACGGGUGAGUAAUGUCUGGGAAACUGCCCGAUGGAGGGGGAUAACUACUGGAAACGGUAGCUAAUACCGCAUAACGUCGCGAGACCAAAGUGGGGGACCUUCGGGCCUCACACCAUCGGAUGUGCCCAGAUGGGAUUAGCUAGUAGGUGGGGUAAUGGCUCACCUAGGCGACGAUCCCUAGCUGGUCUGAGAGGAGGACCAGCCACAGUGGAACUGAGACACGGUCCAGACUCCUACGGGAGGCAGCAGUGGGGAAUAUUGCACAAUGGGCGCAAGCCUGAUGCAGCCAUGCCGCGUGUAUGAAGAAGGCCUUCGGGUUGUAAAGUACUUUCAGCGGGGAGGAUGGCGGUGAGGUUAAUAACCUUGCCGAUUGACGUUACCCGCAGAAGAAGCACCGGCUAACUCCGUGCCAGCCGCCGCCGUAA
This 506-nucleotide ribosomal RNA is filed under the name uncultured bacterium. RNAcentral describes it as "partial 16S ribosomal RNA". It matches the Rfam family "Bacterial small subunit ribosomal RNA", at positions 30 to 523 of the family's 1533-position model. The record is from RNAcentral.